AUGGGGCCACACAGACAGAUGAUACUAACGCUGCUCGCCCUGGCGUUUGUGACCUACAUCUGUGAAGCAGCACUUCUCCGGAAGUCUUCUGCAGAGGACUUUCUGAGGUCUGGGCGAGAGAGGCGGGCAGUGAGAUGUCAACAAGGAGGCUGCAGCUCUGAAGACAGCGAGGCAGAAGAACUACUCGAGGCCACCUCAGAUUACGAGCAGGAAAACUCAAAGAUGUUCUUUAAUGGUGGAUCACAAGCAGGGGUGCACACGGUGAGACCCCCAAUCCGUCACGCAAGACACAGUGAAUUAUGUUUAUUCGUCAGACCCAUUUGGUAAAAAAAGAAGUCUUAAAAUGUAUCAAACUAUUAGGAUGUUUUUGGGUAACAAGACUAAAUGCUUAGUAAGGAUAUCAUUGCUGUGUGCACAAUGUGUGAUAUUUUACUGUAAUAUUCUAAUAAUAUGCACUUGAUUGAUAUAUAUGUAAUCACUACAAUAGUUUCCUGGAAGAAGGAGAGUAGGGUAUUUCCAUUGCAUGCUCACAUGUCUCAAUUGCUAACAUGUAAAGUGGGAUUUAACACGAUCCAUCUUUGGUGGGGCUUCUCUGAACUUCCUUUUCUCUUCGCGCACCUCUCAGAGGCCUGACGGCGAGCCACAGGAAGAGGGCUCAGGCAUGUAGCCCUGUGGCUCAUGGCUUCGUGAGAGUCCACAGACUGGGAAAGACAAAGACAGCCUGGGGGAAACUCCACUCUACUGCAUCACUGGAUCCAAGCACAGGUGCUCAGAGCAUGGAACGAUGUCAGAUGCUAUAAUAAUAUCAUAGAAAGUGUAUAGAGAAUAGAGUCCUGAAGUGUUUCGGAUGCUUAAUUUUGCAUAUAUAUAAAAUCACACUGAAAAUGAUUCGGUCUGAGAUGGAUAUGUUUCUCGCGUAAUUCUAACAUAGAUGGUGAUGCCGACUUUGGUGCUUUUUAAAGAAUGCUGCUGAAAGCCUCUACCUGUUGUAUAACCUGUUUUGACACUAUAGUCACGGUGCUAAAUUGACAUGAUUCAUUUUAGAGAACAGUGUUUAGAUACUACACAAAUUUAAAGGAUGAACCUCAGUGUACACAAUAUACCGUUCACUAUCAAAAGUUUAAAGGUACCUCAAUAUGUUCAAAUGAACAAAAAAAAAAAAGUAUCUGCUAUAUAAACACAAACUAUUUUUAUGUCCUUUACAAAAAGUUUGCAAUAAAAAUACAGCAUGACCUGAAAAAUACUUUUUUAUUCACUUGCAUGAAGAAAAUGCAAUGAUAUUCUUGAAAUGACUUCCUAUACCAUUUUAAUGCCAUGGUACAUGGAUAUGAUAAUCAUUCAGUACCAGGAUAUAUAUAAGUACCAAGGCAUUGCAAUCUAAUACACUCAUGUUUAGGUCAGUGUUGUUGAUAAUGUCAAAACACAUACAACACAACCUGUAGCAUUAGUGAUAAUGGUUUUCCUGUAUGGUGUAGAGAAUAAAAUCAAUGCGUUUUGACUAUUUUUUACCAGAUUUCUUUUCUUAAAUCUACUUUCUGCUGAUUUAUUUUUCAUGCAGAUGAUAUAUGAUGUCCUAUUAUAAUAAGAAAUAAAUAAAGAUUAACUGCAUAUAAAUAUUCUUUUGCUUUCUAUCCUUGAUUUACUGUAUAUCUACAAAAACUCAAUUCAAAAGUUAGCUGCAAUGCUAACACGAGUAAACAGCUUAUGUUUUUCCUGAAUAUUUCAUUCAAAUAACUGUAUCAGAUGUAUUAUGCAGCAGUAAUGUAAACUU
Carassius auratus (goldfish) is the source of this 1771-nucleotide long non-coding RNA. Lineage: Eukaryota; Metazoa; Chordata; Actinopteri; Cypriniformes; Cyprinidae. The record is from Ensembl.